Molecule: long non-coding RNA, 1132 nt
Organism: Aquila chrysaetos chrysaetos
Lineage: Eukaryota; Metazoa; Chordata; Aves; Accipitriformes; Accipitridae
Exons: 4
Source: RefSeq, a predicted model, not a curated record
GGUAUCAGAACAACCACCGCUCUGUAAAUGUGAGACAGGAAUCUGAAGUCUCUGUAACUGAACUGGAUACAAAAGCAUUUUUCUUCACUUGCAAGAUGAUGUCCCUUUUCUUCAUGUAUACAAAACUCAGUAACAUUUAAAAAGUCCACCCUGUUUGGGAAACUUUCCCCUCAAAAUCAAUUCAUUUACAAGGCAUCGCAGCCCAACAGGUGUUUUUCCAAACCACCCCUGAACUCUGAACCUUCAAAUCAUUUACAGAUCUCUUCCACUCAGAGAUGAAACCACAUCCCUGCAUGACUUGUGAAAGCAGGGGCGUGGUGGAGAGCCCGGAUCAGCAGAGCUCCUGUGCCUAGUCCAGCUGCUUUGCAACCGUGGCUGGAGCGACCGUGAAGGCUGCUGUGGUCUCAGUUGCCUUCUGGAGCUGGGAACGGAGGAGCUGUGGAUGCAAUUGCUGUGUCAUACUCUGCUUGUGCUGGAUGCUGUUAAUGUCUGUGGGGCUAAGCACAAGCUGGACACCCAUUAGCUCUGUAAUUACCCAAACUUUCACCUCUUCUGCUCAGGCUGGAGCCUGAAUGGAGCUUAACUAGCCAAAGGCAACUGGGAGACCCUAAAUUUCAAACUACAAGCACUGUCUGGUCUGACAGUAUUUUCUGUAAGAAACUAAAGCCUUCUGUCCCUGGUGAUAAGCUGGUUUUUAUUAUGAAAUAUAACAGUUGUAUUGUACAUGACUGUUCUGUACAAUGCAAUUUACAGAGUUGCUCUGGUGACAGCUGUCAUUGACAGGGUGCCCUUUACAACAGGACUUGUAUAAUGUCAAAAUUUUCAUGAUUCUAAGGGAGCAGAAAAAGAAAUAUUUCCAUGGUUGAAAAUUCCUGUUAGGUAACUAUCAUUGAAGCGUGUACAAGAUUGCAUGUCAAAACAUUCUUAUUGUUAGCUGGUGGGAAUUACAUUGACUGACAGCAGCAGUUUAACAACUGAGAUGCAGUGUAGUUUGUUAUUUUACUUGUUUUUCCAUAGAUCAGCUCUAGUAUUUUCGGAGACUAUCAUUUUGAACUUAUAAGCCUCUCUUUAGAAAUGCAUACUCCCUUCCUCCCACUUUCAGUAUCUUUAUCAAGUUGGCACAAGACAAGCA